CCUACGGGGAGCAGCAGUGGGGAAUAUUGGACAAUGGGCGAAAGCCUGAUCCAGCCAUGCCGCGUGUGUGAAGAAGGCCUUCGGGUUGUAAAGCACUUUCAGUGGGGAAGAAAGCCUUGGGGCUAAUACCCUCGAGGAAGGACAUCACCCACAGAAGAAGCACCGGCUAACUCCGUGCCAGCAGCCGCGGUAAUACGGAGGGGUGCGAGCGUUAAUCGGAAUUACUGGGCGUAAAGCGCGCGUAGGCGGUCUGAUAAGCCGGUUGUGAAAGCCCCGGGCUCAACCUGGGAACGGCAUCCGGAACUGUCAGGCUAGAGUGCAGGAGGGGAAGGUAGAAUUCCCGGGGUAGCGGUGAAAUGCGUAGAGUUCGGGAGGAAUACCAGUGGCGAAGGCGGCCUUCUGGACUGACACUGACGCUGAGGUGCGAAAGCGUGGGUAGCAAACAGGAUUAGAUACCCUAGUGGC
RNAcentral lists this ribosomal RNA (465 nucleotides) under Vreelandella stevensii. Its description in RNAcentral is "partial 16S ribosomal RNA". It matches the Rfam family "Bacterial small subunit ribosomal RNA", at positions 338 to 794 of the family's 1533-position model. Lineage: Bacteria; Pseudomonadati; Pseudomonadota; Gammaproteobacteria; Oceanospirillales; Halomonadaceae. The record is from RNAcentral.